RNAcentral lists this transfer RNA (75 nucleotides) under Lachnospiraceae bacterium NE2001. Its description in RNAcentral is "tRNA_Arg_CCG". It matches the Rfam family "tRNA". From Rfam's summary of the family: Transfer RNA (tRNA) molecules are approximately 80 nucleotides in length. Their secondary structure includes four short double-helical elements and three loops (D, anti-codon, and T loops). The record is from RNAcentral. Lineage: Bacteria; Bacillati; Bacillota; Clostridia; Lachnospirales; Lachnospiraceae.
GCACCAGUAGCUCAGUGGAUAGAGCAAUGGCCUCCGGAGCCAUGUGCGUGGGUUCGAUUCCCGUCUGGUGCACUA